AUUGAACGCUGGCGGCAUGCCUUACACAUGCAAGUCGAACGGCAGCACGGGUGCUUGCACCUGGUGGCGAGUGGCGAACGGGUGAGUAAUACAUCGGAACAUGUCCUGUAGUGGGGGAUAGCCCGGCGAAAGCCGGAUUAAUACCGCAUACGAUCUACGGAUGAAAGCGGGGGCCCUUCGGGCCUCCCGCUAUAGGGUUGGCCGAUGGCUGAUUAGCUAGUUGGUGGGGUAAAGGCCUACCAAGGCGACGAUCAGUAGAUGGUCUGAGAGGACGACCAGCCACACUGGGACUGAGACACGGCCCAGACUCCUACGGGAGGCAGCAGUGGGGAAUUUUGGACAAUGGGCGAAAGCCUGAUCCAGCAAUGCCGCGUGUGUGAAGAAGGCCUUCGGGUUGUAAAGCACUUUUGUCCGGAAAGAAAUCCUUGGCUCUAAUACAGUCGGGGGAUGACGGUACCGGAAGAAUAAGCACCGGCUAACUACGUG
This 486-nucleotide ribosomal RNA is filed under the name uncultured bacterium. RNAcentral describes it as "partial 16S ribosomal RNA". It matches the Rfam family "Bacterial small subunit ribosomal RNA", at positions 30 to 507 of the family's 1533-position model. The record is from RNAcentral.